CAAUAGCGUAUAUUAAAGUUGUUGCAGUUAAAAAGCUCGUAGUUGAAUUUUUGCUUGCCGCCGAUGUCGGAACUUCCGUACGUUCGGCGGCGUGCAUCCUUGGGCGGAACCUGUGUGGCAUUAGGUUGUCGUGCAGGGGAUGCUCAUCGUUUACUGUGAAAAAAUUAGAGUGUUCAAAGCAGGCUUACGCCGUUGAAUAUAUUAGCAUGGAAUAAUAAGAUAGGACCUUGGUACUAUUUUGUUGGUUUACGCACCGAGGUAAUGAUUAACAGGGACAGUUGGGGGUAUUCGUAUUCCAUUGUCAGAGGUGAAAUUCUUGGAUUUCUGGAAGACGAACUACUGCGAAAGCAUUUGUCAAGGAUGUUUUCAUUAA
Molecule: ribosomal RNA, 373 nt
Filed under: uncultured eukaryote
Lineage: Eukaryota
Description: partial 18S ribosomal RNA
Rfam family: Eukaryotic small subunit ribosomal RNA
Source: RNAcentral